GAUGAACGCUGGCGGCGUGCCUAAUACAUGCGAGUCGAGCGAACGGACGCGAAGCUUGCUUCUCUGAUGUUAGCGGCGGACGGGUGAGUAACACGUGGAUAACCUACCUAUAAGACUGGGAUAACUUCGGGAAACCGGAGCUAAUACCGGAUAAUAUUUUGAACCGCAUGGUUCAAAAGUGAAAGACGGUCUUGCUGUCACUUAUAGAUGGAUCCGCGCUGCAUUAGCUAGUUGGUAAGGUAACGGCUUACCAAGGCAACGAUGCAUAGCCGACCUGAGAGGGUGAUCGGCCACACUGGAACUGAGACACGGUCCAGACUCCUACGGGAGGCAGCAGUAGGGAAUCUUCCGCAAUGGGCGAAAGCCUGACGGAGCAACGCCGCGUGAGUGAUGAAGGUCUUCGGAUCGUAAAACUCUGUUAUUAGGGAAGAACAUAUGUGUAAGUAACUGUGCACAUCUUGACGGUACCUAAUCAGAAAGCCACGGCUAACUACGUG
This 497-nucleotide ribosomal RNA is filed under the name uncultured bacterium. Its description in RNAcentral is "partial 16S ribosomal RNA". It matches the Rfam family "Bacterial small subunit ribosomal RNA", at positions 28 to 507 of the family's 1533-position model. The record is from RNAcentral.